RNAcentral lists this ribosomal RNA (450 nucleotides) under uncultured bacterium. RNAcentral describes it as "partial 16S ribosomal RNA". It matches the Rfam family "Bacterial small subunit ribosomal RNA", at positions 354 to 796 of the family's 1533-position model. The record is from RNAcentral.
GUAGGGAAUCUUCCACAAUGGACGAAAGUCUGAUGGAGCAACGCCGCGUGAGUGAAGAAGGUUCUCGGAUCGUAAAACUCUGUUGUGAGGGAAGAACAAGUACCGGAGUAACUGCCGGUACCUUGACGGUACCUCAUUAGAAAGCCACGGCUAACUACGUGCCAGCAGCCGCGGUAAUACGUAGGUGGCAAGCGUUGUCCGGAAUCAUUGGGCGUAAAGCGCGCGCAGGCGGUCCCUUAAGUCUGAUGUGAAAGCCCACGGCUCAACCGUGGAGGGUCAUUGGAAACUGGGGGACUUGAGUGCAGAAGAGGAAAGCGGAAUUCCAAGUGUAGCGGUGAAAUGCGUAGAGAUUUGGAGGAACACCAGUGGCGAAGGCGGCUUUCUGGUCUGUAACUGACGCUGAGGCGCGAAAGCGUGGGGAGCAAACAGGAUUAGAUACCCGUGUAGUCC